CCCCUACAGGUGAAGCAUCUUUGAUGCCAAGGCUGGAAUUGCUUUGAACGACAACUUUUUGAAACUUGUCUCUUGGUAUGACAACGAAUGGGGAUAGAGCUCGCAUGUUAUUGACUUGAUUGUCCACAUUGCAUCUGUGGAAGCCUAAAUGCUCGAUAGGUGAAUGGUCACCUGGUCUUCGACCACGGCUAUGUGUUGGUUUUUCUUUCGAGUUUGAAUAACAAGAAUCUUUCAUACAAGGUUUUUGGGGUGCUACAUAUUUUGGUACAUGUUGUAGGCUCUUUUUUGGUUGUUUCUAGUACUCUUGGUUGUUUCUUUUGUUUAGCGAAAAAAAAAAAAAAACUUUCCUAAUUGUAAUCAGUUUCACCACAUAAUAUGAUAUUAGCCUGGUUGAAGAUUUA
Long non-coding RNA from Helianthus annuus (common sunflower), 401 nucleotides. RefSeq lists it as uncharacterized. The record is from RefSeq and is a predicted model, not a curated record. The transcript has 2 exons. NCBI's taxonomy places the organism in Eukaryota, Viridiplantae, Streptophyta, Magnoliopsida, Asterales, Asteraceae.